CUUCCAGUUUCUACUGUGGACUCAGAACCACGCAGACGUGAUAUUGGUGUGCAGACAGAUUUAACGGGGCACAACAUCCAAGCACUUAAGGCAGACAACAAGAGACUUACUUCUGAAUUGUGCACCUUAAAAAAGCAAAAAGAAUUGCUUGAAGUUACAGAAGAAUCUCUGCGUCAAGAUGACGCCAAAGUUGCCUUUUACUCGGGAAUGAUAAACUAUUCGGUCUUGCAUGCUAUAUUCAAACUGGUCGAGUCGGGUGUAAAACAUACACCGCAAAAUGGGUUGCCAAAGUUUCAAGAGUUCAUUAUUUUCUUAAUGAAACUUAAGUUCAACUUUCCGCACCAGGAUCUUGCCUACAGGUUUCACAUUUCAUGUGCUACCGUCAGCAGAAUUUUUGAGAAGUGGCUGGAUGCUGCCUUUUCAAGGCUGAGGUCACAAAUUGUGUGGCCGUCAUGAAAUGAUAUACAAAGGACAAUGCCACAAGCAUUUUUUGAAUCAUUUGGCUCAAAAGUGGCAGUCAUAAUUGACUGCUUUGAGAUCAGAAUUGAAAGACCAUCAUCCUUGCAGCCAAGAAGCGAGACAUGGUCAAACUAUAAGAACAGCAACACUGCCAAGUUUUUAAUUGGCAUCUGUCCACAAGGUGUAAUUACAUACAUUUCUGAAGGUUGGGGAGGCAGAGCUAGUGAUAGGCACAUAACCGAACAUUGUGGCAUUUUGGAAUAUUUGUCACAAGGGGAUGUUGUUUUAGCUGACAGAGGUUUUGACAUUGCAGACACUUUAGGGUUGUACUGUGCUAAACUCCAUAUCCCUGCUUUCACUAGAGGCCAGAAACAACUUACUGCGCUGGAUGUAGAAAACACAAGAAAACUGGCCAAUGUUCGCAUUCAUGUAGAACGGGUGAUAGGGCUUGUGCGGAACAAAUAUUUGAUAAUGAAAGCAGUCCAGCCAAUUCACUACGUGGCUAGCAAGGCAGGACACGCAUUUACACCACUUGAUAAGAUUGUAACAGUUUGCUGUGCCCUCAUCAACCUUUGUCCAUCGGUAGUUCCUGCAAAUCCAAAACUGCCCUCGUGAACAGCCUUGCGGACAUUCUUGCUGUUUACAAGUAUGGUUGUAUGGGCUUGGGCUAGUUGGUUACAUACAGCAAUGGGGGUCAUAGCACAAAGAAUGUGGUGCAUCGCCUUGCCAUAUCGUGUGGGAAGGUUUACAUUGGGCAGUCGGAGAGAUGCCUGAAUGAUAAGUUAAAAUAACAUAGCCAAAAAUUGAACCGAUGUAGGGAUGGUCAUGUGUCUGUGCAUUGCGGUGAUUGUGGGUGUAAACCCUUGUUUAAGAGUGCUCUGUUUUGUAUAGGAAUGUAGAUGAAGUUAUAUGAGAUGUGUUGAAGCUGCAUUGAUAGCGAGGGCCACUGAUACCUGCAUCAGUUCCCCUUCGGUUGCUCUGACGACAAGCAAAUUUGCGUUCCUGGAAGCGGCUGGUUUUCAUGUGUGGUGAUUGGGCCGUAUCGGUGUGCGGACCUACAAAUACAUGUUUUUCUGGGAAUAAAUACCCAGUUGAAAGUUAGCGCUCAUCCUUGUUGUCUCGCUCCCAUCCGUGUCUUCUGACCCCCAUUGCCAUUCUUUGCUGAUUGCGCAUUUUCAUUUGUGAUUUCACUGAGUGAUUGCUUCCAUUGUUCUCCCAUUGCAUUGUAAAUAAUUCCAUGUUGCACAGUAGACAGUUUGCAAAGUUUUACUCAAGGCAUUCUUUUACAAGUAUGAACUUUUCACAAGUGCUUUUACAUUCGCACAAGUAUUCACUCAAGCACUUGGUGUGUGCCUACACACAUGCAUCUUCAAACAAACAUGUGCUUGUAGAUAUGUGCUGAAUCUGAUCUGCAGUGUGUGGUCGCAACAUGUGCAUAUUCUCCCUGUAGUUUACUUGUGACACAGCUUCUCUUUUCAUAGUCCAUUUUCUGAUUCCUGUACGUUGACAAUAAAGUCUGCACUUUUGCUGCUUGCUUAUCAAUGAA
Molecule: long non-coding RNA, 2005 nt
Filed under: Dermacentor andersoni
Lineage: Eukaryota; Metazoa; Arthropoda; Arachnida; Ixodida; Ixodidae
Description: uncharacterized LOC126522372
Source: RNAcentral